Long non-coding RNA from Thunnus maccoyii (southern bluefin tuna), 2721 nucleotides. RefSeq lists it as uncharacterized. The transcript is spliced from 2 exons. Lineage: Eukaryota; Metazoa; Chordata; Actinopteri; Scombriformes; Scombridae. The record is from RefSeq and is a predicted model, not a curated record.
AGCAUCCACUGAGUGCCAGUUUGAAAAAAAUUAUACCAAAGAUAAUGUCGUUUGCGUACAAAAACUAUGCAGUGGUCACCCGAAAACUGAUUGAAGUAAUUGAAGUAUGCAAAACAAGUGGGUUGAAAAUUACAGAUGGAGACUUCCAACUUUAUUUGGAUUUAACGUUGCACCAAGAACAGUAAGUCGAGGCUAAUAUUAAUAUAGCUAGCAAGCCAAUGCUUAGCUAACGUUAGCUGAACAGAUAAGUAACUUUACUAGCUAGCUACUUAAAUCAAUAAGGCUGGAAACUCACAGUUUGCAUACACAGCAAUCCCUUGCGUCCACCACAGCGUCUCCCCUAGCUUUUAAGUACCACAGGCUGUUUCAGCCAUUGUACAGCAAUGAUUUGUUUAAACAGACGAGUGUUGCAGGUUCCCUCCUCGACUCCUAUUUUGAUGUUGAAACAAGAUGACAAAUCAGCUUCUAAAUUAGAUGGGCACACACUGCAAUCUGCUAACGUUACUGUAUUGAAUUCACAAGGUAACGUAACAUUACUUCCUUCAUUGAAAAUGAAUGAUUUUCACCUUAUUCCUGUGUAUGCGAUCCAGUCUUUUGAGCCUGAGCACUAGACACAGUCAGUGGAUACAAGAUUGAUACAUCUUAUAAAAUCAAUAAACAAUCAGAAAUGUCUAAUGUUAGCUUGUUAUUGUCAUGUCAUUAACAUGACAAUAAACUCAAUGUUACUGUAACUAUAGAGACAAGGUUGAUAAUUACAAAUUCAUAAUCAAAUUAAGAAUAUGAGUAAUAAAUCUGCAGUUCGUGUAGGGCUAUGAAGCGUUUUCUGACAUCUAUUUAAUAUGCUUACCACUUACAGAUCUGAAGAAUACCAAAUGAACAAAAGCAUCACAAAUUAACCACAACAGCCUUCAGUCUCACAGUUCAUGGUUCAUGAGUUUUCUGCCCUUUCUGACAGUAGUUGACAGUAAGUUACAGCCGAGUGUGUCACAGAACAUUGACAUCAAAAGCAGAGAACGUCGCUGCAGAGAUACUUUCAAAAUUGGAAACUCAGUUGAGCAACACAGACCCUGUUCGUCACCGUGGACAUUCGGUCUGACCAAAAGAUGAAGGGGCUCCUUGGUGUCACUGUGCAACGUAUAGAGAGAGAUGCAGAAAAUAUACAGCUAAAGUCCAAUCUCUUAGCCUGUGGCUGCUUCAAAGGCUCACACACAGCCGAAAGAAUCUGUGAGUAAUUUGAAGCCACAUGUGAUGAGUACAACAUUAAAGAUAAAUUGGACUAUAAGGGACAUGUAGAAAGCAUUCACAGUGUGCUUCCCCAUUGAACAAGUAUGUGACGAAGAUCAUUUUGAUGACCCAGAGUUCUGGCAUGACCUAACCCUGGAAGAUCAGCAAACACCAGGAUUUUGCGUUCACUCUCCAGCUGUCGACAGGAGACUGAAAGAAAUGAAAGUGACAACUUAAUCUCUUUCAAAGUUAUCCAAACUCAGCUCAUUGCUGCACACGAGCGUGAUGUUCAAAGAUGUUUUUGAUGCUAAAUUUGGGGAACAAAGAGGCAUCCCUGCUGCUGUCAACACAAGAUAGAACUCAACACUGCAGCGAGUGAGGGCAGUUCUUCAAUGUGAUCUUCUAAAGCUCCGUCACGUUCUAGAAAAGGUUGGGCACACGGAGUUGUCAUUCACAGCACGGGAGUGGAAUCUGUUAAAGGAGUUGGUGGACAUCUUGAAGCUGUUUGGAGAAGCAACAGAUUUGACACGAGGAGAAGAUACUCACAAUCAGUUCUGUUGUUCCCUCUGUCCUGUCCCUGAAUCACCACCUUGUGUCUUGAGCAGCCUGGUCAGAAGUCUCCUGAACCAAAGAUUUCUUGGAAUCUUCAUCAGUGUGAAAAUGACCAGGACGCAAGAUGGAAUCACUGCCCCCUUUUCAGAUCCAGUCUACCUCAAAGCAGCUGCCUUGGAUCCACCUGUUUCUCUGAUAACUGAUCCUGCAAAAUGCUGCAGAGACUGAGCAACCUGUGCCUCUUGUUGAGAGGACUUUGGACCAGGGGAAGGGCUGUUUGCCGCAUACCAUAAGAGUCAGAUGAAGGAUGUUGGGACCACUCCAGCACUACAGCUGAGUCACUACCUUUACAUAUCCAAAGGACAAAACGCCCUUUUGUUCUGGGCAAUGAACAUGAAGGCUUUUCCUUCACUGUUCUGAUUGGCCAUCAGGGUCUUGGCUGUGCCUGCAUUCAGUGCUCCAGCGGAGCAAGUUUUUAGCAAUGGUGGCAUCAUACUGCGGCCUCAUCGUGCACAAAUGACUGACAGACUUUUGGCCAAUUUGGUCUAUUGCAAAGGCAAUACAUCAUAGGGCCUUGAGAUGACAGAAAAAGCACAACCCUGUGGGUGAAUGAAACUGUUUAUGCAUCUGUUAUGUUUCUCUCUCUCUCAUUUAGACAAAAAAACAUAAAACGUGUGACAAACGUCUUAAAAAUUUGGGAAGAGAAAGUUAUAGACAUUGUUCCAAAAUGAGAUAAGUUAAAUACAACAAAAUCCAUACUGUUGUGGUACUGGUUAGUAGUGCUAUAUGCUAUGAAAGUACAAUGUCAGCACUACUUUUUUAUGAUUAAGUUCAGUCACACUUGUUUUAACAAACUUGUUUAUCUGAUUGAGGUCAAAUGAGGCCCUGUGAAUUAUACUCUGAGCCACAAGGUGUAGCCUGAUGCCACUGAUAAAAUGUUUGUGA